Molecule: non-coding RNA, 72 nt
Organism: Pangasius djambal
Lineage: Eukaryota; Metazoa; Chordata; Actinopteri; Siluriformes; Pangasiidae
Source: the annotation of a GenBank genome assembly
CCCCUGGAGGACUAGUGGUUAGGCUAUGGCACUCUCACCGCCGCAGCCCGGGUUCAAGUCCUAGCCAGGGAA